This 665-nucleotide ribosomal RNA is filed under the name uncultured Actinomycetes bacterium. RNAcentral's name for it is "bacterial SSU rRNA". It matches the Rfam family "Bacterial small subunit ribosomal RNA", at positions 76 to 757 of the family's 1533-position model. Lineage: Bacteria; Bacillati; Actinomycetota; Actinomycetes. The record is from RNAcentral.
CACUUCGGUGGUACUCGAGCGGCGAACGGGUGAGUAACACGUGAGUAAUCUGCCCCUGGCUUCGGGAUAGCCACCGGAAACGGUGAUUAAUACCGGAUAUGACAGACCCUCGCAUGGGGGUGUGUGGAAAGUUUUUCGGCCAGGGAUGUGCUCGCGGCCUAUCAGCUUGAUGGUGAGGUAAUGGCUCACCAUGGCUUCGACGGGUAGCCGGCCUGAGAGGGUGACCGGCCACACUGGGACUGAGACACGGCCCAGACUCCUACGGGAGGCAGCAGUGGGGAAUAUUGGACAAUGGGCGGAAGCCUGAUCCAGCAACGCCGCGUGAGGGAUGACGGCCUUCGGGUUGUAAACCUCUUUCAGUACCGACGAAGCGCAAGUGACGGUAGGUACAGAAGAAGCACCGGCCAACUACGUGCCAGCAGCCGCGGUAAUACGUAGGGUGCGAGCGUUGUCCGGAAUUAUUGGGCGUAAAGGGCUCGUAGGCGGUUUGUCGCGUCGGGAGUGAAAACGCCGUGCUUAACACGGCGCUUGCUUCCGAUACGGGCAGACUAGAGGUAUUCAGGGGAGAACGGAAUUCCUGGUGUAGCGGUGAAAUGCGCAGAUAUCAGGAGGAACACCGGUGGCGAAGGCGGUUCUCUGGGAAUGACCUGACGCUGAGGAGCGAA